Long non-coding RNA from Phascolarctos cinereus (koala), 626 nucleotides. RefSeq lists it as uncharacterized. The record is from RefSeq and is a predicted model, not a curated record. NCBI's taxonomy places the organism in Eukaryota, Metazoa, Chordata, Mammalia, Diprotodontia, Phascolarctidae.
UACAGACCCCAGGUUAAAAAACCUUCACCAUACUGCUCAGCAAGAAUGUACCAAUUGAUGAUCUAAAGUUCCUCAGCAUAUAGCUCACUAGAGAAAAGAAGUCCUGGAAACAAAGGAAGUACCCAUCAACUAUGGAACGGCUGAAAAAAUUAAGUCCCUCCAUCCAUGUGCUGAAGCCUCCCACCCUCACCCCACAAAAAACAACAACAACAACAACCACCUCCAAGUGAAAGCAGAAGAGCACAUAAGCCCCCACCAGCUGGAGGCUUGGCUUAAAACCUAAGAGACAGCUUUGCCCCAUUCUGCCACCUGCCUGGGGGUCCAGGCCCUGCUCUGAUCAGUCUGUGCUCCAGUAGCACCCAUCUGCCCGCAUGUCACCCUCAUUCUGUCUGUGUCCAUGCCAGGCCCCCAGAUGUCUUCCAUCACCACCCCCCAAUUUAUUCUUCUUCUGGAUUCCAACCAGGUCCUCCAUUGCUGGCCUAGGCAUGUUCCUCCUGUUCUGGUUUCUGUCCCUGGCCCCCAUGUGUCCUUAAAGCAUCUGCUGGCCCCGUCCCUUCAUAGGGACAUAGCCCCACUCCUGCUUCCUUCCACGUCUAUAGCAAAUUCAUAUUACGUAAAAAUCUAGG